Molecule: long non-coding RNA, 1392 nt
Organism: Pan troglodytes (chimpanzee)
Lineage: Eukaryota; Metazoa; Chordata; Mammalia; Primates; Hominidae
Exons: 3
Source: RefSeq, a predicted model, not a curated record
ACACAGCUGCAGCCUAGCGAACCAGAGGCCCAGGUCUGUCUGAGGUCACGAGGCACAAUCAAAGACAAUGAAGAAGAAUCCGGAGCCUCUCUCAAUUCUCCCAAUCCUGGGACAGGGCAGGAUCCCUCCAGAUCCACCUUUUCUCUGUCGUCUCCUGGAUCAGUCUGCUCAGACCUGGGCUGAUAGGCCAGAGAUUUGAAGAAUACCACAGUCGGGAAUUGCCCUUCUCAUGAGAUCGUAUCAGCGGGUGAAUGAUAGCAACGUGACUUAGUGGUGAUGUUAACCUUCAUCAUUUGGUUAACAAGCUGCCCACGGGUUUCUCAUCAAGAUAGUAAUUCAUUGUACAGGGAAGGGAACUCACCAUGUGGAAAUUCCCACUUCCUCGGAGAACAGUGUGCACAGUGUUAACCUUGGUGAGUAAGAAUUCCCCCUCCUCUCACACCCCCAUUGGCAGCUUUCCUCUCGGAAGCCUGUGGUCACCUUCAGUCUUAUCCACAUCUGAAAAGUGACGUAGGGGCAAAUCUGCCAAGCACCAACAACCCGAGCGAUUGGAGCAGAUAUUGUCAUCUUUUUGGUCUGCCCAGCAACCCCUCUGACAAUAGCACUUCAGUUUUCCUUUGGUGGAAAGCGGCUCUUCUUCCCUCUUUUCAUGUGAUUCUGGUAGGGGAGGGAGUACGUGACCCAAGCCUGGCCAUCACAGAGAUACAUCUCUCUGGCCACAGGGAAGGACAUAUAGCCCAAGCUGGGCCAGUCAGUCACCUUUGGCCGACACUGCUAGACUGUAAGGCAGGGCAGAGCCUGUCUGAGGAUGGAAAACUAAGAGAUGGACAGAGGCCUGAAAGCAACCUCAGAGCUCCUGGGUCCAGCUGGUCUUUUUAGUUAUAAGCAACUUAUAAGCAACUUUCUUUCUUUCCUUCCUUCUUUCCUCCCUUCCUCCCUCCCUCCCUCCCUCCCUUCCUUCCUUCCUUCCUUUUCUAUUAAAUGAAAUUUAUAGGAGGUCACUGAUUUGGGCUGAGCUCCUGCAGGAGGCCCCAGUAGACCAAACCAAGAUGGAGUCACUCAUGCUAAGUUCCAUAUCACCAAACUGAAACUGAGUCAUCAGACCUUCCCAGAACUCAAGACAGAGAGAGAUAAUAUGCAAAUCCCCAAACAGGCCAGCUGUAGCCAGCAUGAUAAGGAAGUCCCCUCUACUUUAACCUUUAUAAGGAAAGUAACCUGAAGUAACCUGAGCUUACCAAUCUGCUUUUUGUUCCCUGUGUCUGCUUUCUUCACCCUUUUCUGCCUAUAAAGCCAAGCUUCUCUGUUUAGCUCAUCAGAACACUUUUCCUAAAGUUUUAGAGGAGAUGCUGCCCCAAUUCAUGAAUUACAAAUAAAAACCAAUUCAAUCAUUUA